This is a long non-coding RNA of Phyllopteryx taeniolatus (common seadragon), 6497 nucleotides long. RefSeq lists it as uncharacterized. NCBI's taxonomy places the organism in Eukaryota, Metazoa, Chordata, Actinopteri, Syngnathiformes, Syngnathidae. The record is from RefSeq and is a predicted model, not a curated record. The transcript is spliced from 2 exons.
GCAGAACAUGCAAACUCCACACAGGUGGGACUGGGAUUGAACCCCGGUCCUCAUAACUUUGAGGCAGACGCUCUAACCAGUCAUCCACCGUGCCGCGUCAAGAAAAUCAUCAUGUCCAAUUCAAGGUCUUCCUUUGAGCUCUAGAUCGCUGCUAUUUCUGUUCAAAUAUGUGAUGUUUCUUAUGCCGAUGAAAAGUGCAAGCCAUUAGGUAGCUCGUGAACUAAUGGCGAAUUCUCUAAGCUGAGAGACGGACAGCAGGUAAGUCUGCUGCGUCACCUCCCUGCUUGGUGUUAUGUCAGUGUGUAGGUCCACAUAAGACACACUUUAGGGCAACCAUGCCCAAAGUCCGGCCCCCGGGCCAAAUCCGACCCCUGUGCAAAUUUCUUCCAGCCCAAAGCAUCUUGUCAUAAAAUCAAUAAUAUGUGGCCCGCCAGCACAGUUUCCCACAGUAAACAAUACACAUUCAAAAAAAGCAAUUUUAUAUUUUACCAGCGCGUGGCAGUAGACCUGUGGCCGCACUCCCGCCACGUGACCCCUGUGUGAACUUUUACCCCUGUGGUAUAUUUUUAGCCAAUUUCUAAAAUGGCAACUGAAACUAAAAAGAGUAAAGUUGACAACAAGGGCCACAGUUUCCAGGACAAGUGGAAAUCGGAGUAUUUUUUUCCACUGACAUACGAAACAACUGUUUCUGCCUAAUUUGCCAAGAGACUGUGGCUGUUUUCAAAGAAUUCAAUAUUAAGAGGCACUACCAGACGUAACAUGCUAACUACGACAAGCUAACGGCGAAGGAACGCGCCGAAAAACGGAAGCAACUGGAAGCUGUUUUGAUAGCACAGCAGCGUUUUUUUCCACAAGAGCCCGUGACUCAAAUGAAAAUUCUACAAAGGCGAGCUACGAGCUGGCAAUGCUGAUUGCCAAGCACUGCAAACCUUUUACUGAGGGUAAAUUUAUCAAAGACUGCGUGAUGAAAAUGGUGGAGAAAAUUGAGCCUGAGAAAAAGCAAGAGUUUGCCAAUGUUAGCCUGGGUCGUAGCACUGUGGCACGGAGGAUUGGAGAAAUUUCAUCUGAUAUCAAGAGACAGUUAGAGGCAAAAGGAGUGGAGUUCGACUUUUUCCGUUAGCCUGCGACGAAAGCACGGAUGCAUCUGACACCGCUCAGUUACGGAUUUGUUUUUGAGAGGAGUGGACAAUGAAAUGAACGUGUGUGAAGACCUGCUCGACCUUCAGAGCCUUAAGAACCAAACGAGAGGAAUAUAUUUGUUUGCUUCUGUUUGUUCCACUGUAGAUGACAUGAAACUACAAUGGAAUAAAAUCACUGGGAUUAUUACGGACAGCGCACCGGACAAUUCUUGGCACGGUUAUGAACAUUAACAAGAACCGCGUGAGGACAAGACUAAGUGACUCUCACCUGCAUGACAUCUUGCGCAUCAAAACCACUGCUUUUGAGCCAGACCUGGCCUGUUUACUGCAGUCGAAACACCAGUAUCAGCCUUCACAUUAAUGCAGGUGGAUGAAGAUAGCGAGCAGAUAAUGACCUCAGCUUCCAUCUGUUGGGCACCGUGGGGCGGAGACACCUUCAACCUGCCACCGGUCGCUUGCCACCACAAUCUGUCGCUCCCCAUCGUCCUGGUGACAUCUGCUUUUGGGUGACUGAGAGAUGAAUGCAUGCACCAUCCCGCACUGGGCUUAGAACAUACGUCACGCAGGCCAAUAGGCGCACACACAAACACGCACGCCAUCACUGCGGCACAGAUGGCCACGGGCACACAACUGUGGAGAUUACAAUCUAAGCAUUCUCCGUUCCCUCUAACCACUCAAUAACAUGGACAUGGUUUCACAACAGAUUUGUUGCACUGUUAUGUUUUUUCAUAUUCCUGAAAAGUGGUCCUCUAGAAAUGUUUCAUUGUUGUGACUAACAUUUGCAACACACCCACAAUUUUCUGAUAAUAAAUGACAUGACAGACUCAAUGACCUGCUUAAAGAAGGACGCACAAAUUGCGGUUAUGGCUUCACAUCCAAAUGCCCAUUUGUUUGUGUUUACAGCACAGGGGAAUUAAGUGUUGUUGCUGACUAGUACUCUGUAUCUAUGGCGAUAUCGUUUUGCUUGACUAGAGUCCCCAGCCACAGCUGUCACAGUUAUUUAGUGGCUCUGCGGUAACCUUGGAAACACCCUCCCCAUUUCGACAUACACACAUGCAUGUACACCGCCGUGUUUGCACAAAGUGAAAUCCUGAUAAACAGGUGAUGUGCAGGCAAUGUGUCGAAUUCACACCAAGUGACGUGACAAAAGUAACAUAAUGUGUCAGAAAAGGGUAUCAGGGGAGAAAGAGAGGAAAUAGAAAGUGGGUGGGUGCCACUGACAGGAACACUGAAGCAGAAGUCGCAGAGGACAGAAAAAAAGAGAGGAAUUCAGGUCAGCAUUGGGGGAUUAUGCAUGCCAGACUGGGCAUUUUGGUUCCACCUCUGGUCUGGAUAGACUGCUGGGUGAGGGAAGGGCAACUGGAUGACUGAUGGCUGAAGAGAGGGGUGGCGAGCAGGGCAGAGGAGCAGCUAAGUGAGAAGACGAUCAAUUAGAAUCGACUUUCAUCAUUCCUCAGCGGGAGCGGCCGAGUGAACACAAGGCAGUUGAUUUACCUCGGUCCACCCGGAUCGAGGUCCCCUUUCAAAAAUCACAGUCACAUGAUAUAAAGUGCAUGUCAAAGCCACAAGUGGCACUAUAACCCCUUACCGUAAUGCAAUUUUAGCCAAGAAAAAAAUUAUUUGCUUGUUUACUAUCUAUCCAUUCUUAUAGAGACAAAGUAUCAUUCACACUCACAUUCUCAACAAUGGACAAUUGGACGAGUCUUAAAUGCACGUAACAUGCAUGUUUUUCAAAUGUGGGAGGAAGCACCAGUACCCCCAGAAAACCCAAAUACGGGGAAAACAUGAAAAUUCCACACAAGCUGCCCAGAGCCAAAAAUUGAACCCAGAACCUCUCAAAUGUUAGGCAGACGUGCUAACCACUAUUCCACAUGUAUUUUAUUGUGGCUGUAUUGUGACCAGAUGUUGCCUUUCCCUUGACAUGUCUUAUUUUCAAUAUCGUCCAUUACGUCAUUCGGUAUGCAUUUUCAAUUGCGUUGUGACUCCCGGUUCUCUUGUGACCCGGGCUUCUUGCAUGGAUUAUAAAUGUAAAGACUGAAUACUAGGUCUUGUACUCACACUCUAAAUCCCCAUUUGCUAUUCAUGUUGGCAGCAACGAAUGACUUCAGCAUCAAAAUCGAAUCGUAACUCUGUAAUAUUCCGAAAAAAAGACGUCACUGUCCAAUAAAUGAAAAAUCCAAUUUGAUUAUUUAAAAACUAUCCAUUAAACCGGAAAGAGAGGAUGCUGCCACGUUUUAGCUACCGGAUCUCCCCGCGGGAAAGUUUUUUUUUUUAUUAUUUAAAAUGGUUUACUUUAAGCGGGAUCCCUUGCUGUACUAUGGCCAAUAGUAGAACCCAGGUUGAUACCCUAAAAUGCGUAAGGGCCUUUUCACGCUGCACUUGCUCAGUGUGAAAGGCCCGUGUGAAAGGCCCGCGUAUCAAAGCGCAGUGACAAAGGCAACAGGGUUGCGGCUAUCCCAUAUUUGGAAAGGGUGACAUAACAGCCUCGAAGAAAGUCGGGAGGCUUUCCCCGCUGAGUGGACCGCAACUCGGCAAUAUGCAUUUGUCCUAACUGUUUAUUUUGAAGAGGAGGAGGUGACGCAGCAGCAAAAAAAAAAAAAAGGGGAAUGGGAAUAUCCCAUACUAAUUUAACGGCAGCAUCUCAGAGUUAAAACCUGUUCUUGAGAUUUGUAAUUACUGGAAGAGCGCUUCGAAGUGUAUUUCAGACUGAGGAAGGAGCUUUGAAAGGAAGUUUAAAAGCCUCCCACAGAGAUAUCUUGGUAUGUCAUUUUUCUCCUGGCCCAAAGUUCGGCUAGUGGGACACCACAAUUAUUAUGCCUUCCUUGAUGCCCCCUAGCUGUUUACAGGACAGGUCCGCCUAAAUAGCACUCAGAAAUCACUCCGCCAGCCCCGCUCACACUGGAGGAGCUUUUUGACGUCACCGUGACAGUGCUCCCGAAAAGAACAUAUUUCUGAGCGUCAGACGCUCGGCGUCACGUCAAAACGCGCUGCCACAACCUUCUCUCAUUAAUUCUGCCACGGUUGUCGUAUGCCAGGAACAUCCUUGCAGCUCCUCGUCCGGCUAUUGGACACUUCCUUCCGCGAAGAUCAUCGUCUCGGUUGAGACUGCUAUGGCUAUUUGCAUCCGUGAUCAAUGAUCAACUGCAGGAACUACACUACUGUACAACUGCACAUAUGUUCAGAAAUUGCGCAGUAAGUCAAAAUGGCAUCUCCCAUAAACAAAGGCUAAACGUGAAAUACUUUGUAUUUUUUUCAAUUAAUACAGCGUGCCAGCAGAAUAAAGGAAGUGGUAUCAUAUUCUAAGAUUCAUUCAGUGAUUGCUUUUCCACGCCCAUUCGAAUCCCAAUUCGAGUCACCACCCAUUCGUGAACAGCCCUACUUGAUACAGUCAUUAAUUGGUUACUGUUGUUGCAGUCAUUGCCCAAGUUACAUGUCAAUCAUUAUAGACAACACCACUCUGUCUUUGUGCAGGCAUUGGUUAGCCUACCCAUCAAUCAUUACACGUAUCAACAAUUUAGCUGUUCGCACUUUAUUGAAUGAGAUGGUUAUACAAGUCAGAAACCAACACGUAAGUGGGUGCCAAUUGACACACUUACUUUUUUCACAUAGCUCCCUCUACUGGAUCCGGUGGCUUCCAAUUCAAGCAGACUGUGACAUCGAAAUAAAGCGAACAAAUAUUCCUCAAUGCACACUUUCAUCUAGAUCUGUAACAAAAUUUUUACAGGUGCUAGAUCCAUGCACCACAUCUCUGCUGUUCUUGCAUGGUUUUGCCAAGUAAUGGACAGACCAACUACCGACUGUCUGACUACGGGCAAAUCAAGGAGAAUCACUUGUGUGGACGCACUCACUCACAUGUGUAAUGUUAAUAAAAUAAAGUACCAAUAAGAUCAAAUCAGCUCAAAUAUGGAAGACGCUGAAAGCCAUUCACAAGGGUUUUUCUAAUGGCCAGUUUUCAGUAACCUAAAACUGAGUAUGCUGUGGACUAAAGCCCGCAACAUACAUUUUUAAAAAUACCCAUGCUUGUGCAGACAUGGUCUUAAGCAAAGUGUUGACAGGUAGUGCCAAGUUGGGGAUGUUAUACUCUGGAUGGGAUCCCAAAUGAAAGACGACAACUGACAUUUGCCAAAGUGAAAGAUAACUAUAGACGCUCCAAGACCACUAAAUGUUAAGUUUUAACAAGUCUAAAUUUAAUGGUUUGAUUUCCGUCCUUAAAAUACCAGGCAGGCUUAGGUUAUAACUUGUGAUUCCUGGAAUGACUUCAUGUUUCCUCUUGUUAAGCAGCUCUUAGCGUUAAGAAUGUCAUGUUUAUGGAUGUUUUAUAGAUGAGAAAGAAUAGAUUUAUCCAAGAAACAAUGUCAGAGGUGUCAAAAUACAAAAGUAUAGCAAUGUGCUGCGUCCUAGAGGCAGGUUUACCUUGGCCAGGACAGGAAACUCGACGUCUUUAUAUAACCAAAUAGGUUCCAAAAGGCUUAGGGGCUGACAGGCAGGCAAAAAAAAAAAAAAAAGCAGGAAGAGGAAAGAAGAAGAUCAGAGGACAAUUGAUUAGAAGCCAAGAAGAAGAAACGGUGACUUCACUUCAAGACUUUUUGGAAACUGAAAAUAAACUCAAAAUGUACAAAUCACACAAGUAAAGGCGACAAGCUGAACCAAUGAAACCAAUCAUGCAAAGACGGGAGCUGUUAAUACCUAAAAUAGACUAGCCGACUUUGUAGAACAGACAUCGGACAGUGUAUUAUCUGAUAGCUACCUAGCAUUCAUUCAUUCAUGCAUUUAUGGUGCCAAUCUGUUGUACUAUUUGGAAUUCGACAUACAUAGUUGGAAGGUACGUAUAUGCCUCUUAAGCUGCACAAUACUAGCAAAUUGCCAUUAUGCAUGACAUGAGAUCAGUGUCUGUAUAUUUUGCUUUUUAUUGGCAAAACUAUAACGCUGGCAUACACCUUGUCACUUAGCAAAGUUAAGGCACAGUGUUUUGUCGUUUAUAUGUUUUACAGUAGCUGACUUAUUUUUGCACAAUUUGCUUUCACGCUCGGCUCUGAGGCGGCGAGGUAGACGAGUGGUUAGCACCUGUGCCUCACAUCUCUGUGUGUAGUUUGCAUAGUCUACCCAGGGUUUUCUCUGGGUACUUCCAGUUCCUCCCACAUCACUAAAAUAUUCUUCUUAGGUUAAUUGAAGACUCAAAAUUGUCCAUACGUGUGAGUGAUUGUUUGUCUAUAUGUGCCCUGCGAUUGACUAGCGACCAGUCCUGGGUGUACCCUGCUUCUCACCCAAUGUCAGGACAGACUACAGCUCAUCCACGACCCUAAUGUGCUAUAAAAACGAUGAAUUUGUCACUGAAAUAAAGGCCCUGUUUUAAUUGUU